GUGCUCAUUUCGGCAGCACAUAAACUAAAACUGGAAUGAUUCCGAGAAUAUUAGUGUGGCCCCUUUGCAAGGAUGAUACACAAUUUCCUGAAGCAUUUCGUACUUAA
Molecule: small nuclear RNA, 107 nt
Organism: Marmota marmota marmota (Alpine marmot)
Lineage: Eukaryota; Metazoa; Chordata; Mammalia; Rodentia; Sciuridae
Source: Ensembl